AUCGGGGCCGACGGGCGCGGCCGGCGUGGUGGCCAUGGAGUUGCUCUCGUCAGCUCCAGCGGCUGAGAUACUGCUAUCACGCGCAGUGACCCGUCGAACCUGAUCCAGGUAUACCGGCGCAGGUACGGUGCGAAGGUUCGCG
RNAcentral lists this non-coding RNA (142 nucleotides) under Mesorhizobium sp. ORS 3359. Lineage: Bacteria; Pseudomonadati; Pseudomonadota; Alphaproteobacteria; Hyphomicrobiales; Phyllobacteriaceae. The record is from RNAcentral.